CAAGCCUGAACGAGCGAUGCCGCGUGAGUGAAGAAGGCCUCGGGUCGUAAAGCUCUGUUGCGGGGGAAAAAAGGCAGCAUCAGGAAAUGGGUGCUGACUGAUGGUGCCCCGCCAGAAAGUCACGGCUAACUACGUGCC
This 138-nucleotide ribosomal RNA is filed under the name uncultured bacterium. RNAcentral describes it as "partial 16S ribosomal RNA". It matches the Rfam family "Bacterial small subunit ribosomal RNA", at positions 378 to 509 of the family's 1533-position model. The record is from RNAcentral.